AGUCUGCAACUCGACUCCAUGAAGCUGGAUUCGCUAGUAAUCGCGCAUCAGCCACGGCGCGGUGAAUACGUUCCCGGGCCUUGUACACACCGCCCGUCAAGCCAUGGAAGCCGGGAGUGCCUGAAGUGCGUGAGCGCAAGCAGCGCCCUAAGGUAAAACCGGUGACUGGGGCUAAGUCGUAACAAGGUAUC
Molecule: ribosomal RNA, 191 nt
Filed under: uncultured bacterium
Lineage: Bacteria
Description: partial 16S ribosomal RNA
Rfam family: Bacterial small subunit ribosomal RNA
Source: RNAcentral